Gasterosteus aculeatus aculeatus (three-spined stickleback) is the source of this 621-nucleotide non-coding RNA. The record is from RefSeq and is a predicted model, not a curated record. Lineage: Eukaryota; Metazoa; Chordata; Actinopteri; Perciformes; Gasterosteidae.
GGAGGACAUCGUCAAAUGUUGCGGAGACACCUGUCGGGAGACGUUUCACUACUGCACGACUGCGCAUGCGCGGAGGACUCAACUACUUCCUGGUUGUACAAACGAAAAGGCAAGAUGAGACGUAUCUAAACCUUCCUGACACUUUAAGUGCUGGAGCAUCAAAGUUUGAAGACCAUCACAGAUGUGCUGCCAGCAGGAGUUCAGCGGUGCACAGCUGUGACAUGUUUUUGUGUCUAACAAAAACCAUCAUCUUAAACAGUUGCUAAUGUCUUGCAUGUCUUGGCUUUUGAAUAAUUUGAAUUUAUCCAAUGAAGGAAAUUCAACUUGUACUGGUUUGGUAAUAGAUGAGAGCUUUUUAGUGGUGAAGUAGGUUGAAAUAUGGAAGAAACCUGCUCUGACUUGGGUAGACACAUAUGAGAAUGUUUGCUUGUAUACGAGUCUGAGUGAGACAAAAGGGAGGUUUAUGCAAUUAGCUUGAGGGCCUUUUUGGCCGUUAUAAAGGGAUGAGUCAUUUCAAUCAUCCUGGCCUGUGAACUUGGCUCCAAAACGGAUUACCGGUAUGAAUUAAAUAUAGACACCUGUGUUACUGUGAAUAAACGUCAUCAGCAUAUCUUCUCAUAA